AGCGUCAGCGAGAAAACGGAAGUGAAGUAUCUGUGAGUGAGAAACAUUUACCUCAGUUACUAGCACUGCUGUUCUGUGUUUCAGAGAGAGAUGCACACCAAACAACAGCAUCUUCUUUCUCAUCAGUUAAACCUCCACUGAUCACACCUCCAUCUCCUGUAACAGGCUCUUCUCUGAUCAUCAGUGUGUCUGUGCUUCUGCUUCUGAUCAUCAGUGUGAUUCUGUUAGUGAUCGUGACUCUCUGGAGGAGGCGUCAGUCACACAAUGCUGAUUCCUCAUCCAAAAGAUCUCACUCGACACCAGAAAACAGUGC
Molecule: long non-coding RNA, 313 nt
Organism: Sinocyclocheilus grahami
Lineage: Eukaryota; Metazoa; Chordata; Actinopteri; Cypriniformes; Cyprinidae
Exons: 3
Source: RefSeq, a predicted model, not a curated record